Molecule: long non-coding RNA, 161 nt
Organism: Helianthus annuus (common sunflower)
Lineage: Eukaryota; Viridiplantae; Streptophyta; Magnoliopsida; Asterales; Asteraceae
Exons: 3
Source: RefSeq, a predicted model, not a curated record
GGGAUCCUUUGCUUCAAGGGGAUCUGGAGUCGAAAUAUUUGUGAGUAAACUCGUGGCAUACAGGAAUACAACAGUCCCUGAAAAGACCUUCAAAAACUGGCCAAAGAUGAUGCAACUUUACCAUCUUGUACCUUGCACACAACCGCAAAGCAGGUUUCAGA